This 634-nucleotide ribosomal RNA is filed under the name uncultured bacterium. Its description in RNAcentral is "bacterial SSU rRNA". It matches the Rfam family "Bacterial small subunit ribosomal RNA", at positions 9 to 655 of the family's 1533-position model. The record is from RNAcentral.
GAGUUUGAACCUGGCUCAGGAUGAACGCUGGCGGCGUGCCUAAUACAUGCAAGUCGAGCGAACCACUUCGGUGGUGAGCGGCGAACGGGUGAGUAACACGUAGGUGAUCUGCCCAUCAGACGGGGACAACGAUUGGAAACGAUCGCUAAUACCGGAUAGGACGAAAGUUUAAAGGUGCUUCUGGCACCGCUGAUGGAUGAGCCUGCGGCGCAUUAGCUAGUUGGUAGGGUAAAGGCCUACCAAGGCGACGAUGCGUAGCCAACCUGAGAGGGUGAACGGCCACACUGGGACUGAGACACGGCCCAGACUCCUACGGGAGGCAGCAGUAGGGAAUCUUCGGCAAUGGGCGAAAGCCUGACCGAGCAACGCCGCGUGAAUGAUGAAGGCCUUCGGGUUGUAAAAUUCUGUUAUAAGGGAAGAACGACUUUAGUAGGAAAUGGCUAGAGUGUGACGGUACCUUAUGAGAAAGCCACGGCUAACUACGUGCCAGCAGCCGCGGUAAUACGUAGGUGGCGAGCGUUAUCCGGAAUUAUUGGGCGUAAAGGGCGCGCAGGUGGUUGAUUAAGUCUGAUGUGAAAGCCCACGGCUUAACCGUGGAGGGUCAUUGGAAACUGGUCGACUUGGGUGCAGAAGA